GGGGAUGUAGCUCACUUGGUAGAGUGCUUGCUUUGCAUGCACAAGGCCCUGGGUUCAAUCCCUAGCACAACCA
RNAcentral lists this transfer RNA (73 nucleotides) under Ictidomys tridecemlineatus (thirteen-lined ground squirrel). Its description in RNAcentral is "Spermophilus tridecemlineatus (thirteen-lined ground squirrel) tRNA". It matches the Rfam family "tRNA". From Rfam's summary of the family: Transfer RNA (tRNA) molecules are approximately 80 nucleotides in length. Their secondary structure includes four short double-helical elements and three loops (D, anti-codon, and T loops). Lineage: Eukaryota; Metazoa; Chordata; Mammalia; Rodentia; Sciuridae. The record is from Rfam by way of RNAcentral.